UACGUAGGGACCGAGCGUUGUCCGGAAUCAUUGGGCGUAAAGAGCGUGUAGGCGGCCUGUUAAGUCUUGCGUGAAAUCUCGGGGCUCAACCCCGGACUUGCAGUGGGUACGGGCAGGCUAGAGUGUGGUAGGGGAGACUGGAAUUCCUGGUGUAGCGGUGGAAUGCGCAGAUAUCAGGAGGAACACCGAUGGCGAAGGCAGGUCUCUGGGCCACUACUGACGCUGAGAAGCGAAAGCAUGGGGAGCAAACAGG
RNAcentral lists this ribosomal RNA (253 nucleotides) under uncultured bacterium. RNAcentral's name for it is "partial 16S ribosomal RNA". It matches the Rfam family "Bacterial small subunit ribosomal RNA", at positions 524 to 776 of the family's 1533-position model. The record is from RNAcentral.